AACGAACGCUGGCGGCAGGCCUAAUACAUGCAAGUCGAGCGCGCCCUUCGGGGUGAGCGGCGGACGGGUGAGUAACGCGUGGGAAUAUGCCCUUCUCUAAGGAAUAGCCUCUGGAAACGGAGAGUAAUACCUUAUACGCCCUUCAGGGGAAAGAUUUAUCGGAGAAGGAUUAGCCCGCGUUAGAUUAGGUAGUUGGUGGGGUAAUGGCCUACCAAGCCUACGAUCUAUAGCUGGUUUGAGAGGAUGAUCAGCCACACUGGGACUGAGACACGGCCCAGACUCCUACGGGAGGCAGCAGUAGGGAAUCUUAGACAAUGGGGGCAACCCUGAUCUAGCCAUGCCGCGUGUGUGAUGAAGGCCCUAGGGUCGUAAAGCACUUUCGCCAGAGAUGAUAAUGACAGUAUCUGGUAAAGAAACCCCGGCUAACUCCGUGCCAGCAGCCGCGGUAAUACGGAGGGGGUUAGCGUUGUUCGGAAUUACUGGGCGUAAAGCGCACGUAGGCGGAUUAAUAAGUUAGAGGUGAAAUCCCAGGGCUCAACCCUGGAACUGCCUUUAAUACUGCUAGUCUUGAGUUCGAGAAAGGUAAGUGGAAUUCCGAGUGUAGAGGUAAAAUUCGUA
This 618-nucleotide ribosomal RNA is filed under the name uncultured Alphaproteobacteria bacterium. Its description in RNAcentral is "bacterial SSU rRNA". It matches the Rfam family "Bacterial small subunit ribosomal RNA", at positions 28 to 692 of the family's 1533-position model. The record is from RNAcentral. Lineage: Bacteria; Pseudomonadati; Pseudomonadota; Alphaproteobacteria.